UGAGUACGACGGAGCACGUGAAAUUCCGUCGGAAUCUGGGAGGACCAUCUCCUAAGGCUAAAUACUCUCUAGUGACCGAUAGUGAACCAGUACCGUGAGGGAAAGGUGAAAAGCACCCCGGAAGGGGAGUGAAAUAGAACCUGAAACCGUGUGCUUACAAGUAGUCAGAGCCCGUUAAUGGGUGAUGGCGUGCCUUUUGUAGAAUGAACCGGCGAGUUACGAUUUGAUGCAAGGUUAA
This 238-nucleotide ribosomal RNA is filed under the name Staphylococcus aureus. RNAcentral's name for it is "partial 23S ribosomal RNA". It matches the Rfam family "Bacterial large subunit ribosomal RNA", at positions 409 to 649 of the family's 2925-position model. The record is from RNAcentral. Lineage: Bacteria; Bacillati; Bacillota; Bacilli; Caryophanales; Staphylococcaceae.